UGGGGAAUAUUGGGCAAUGGGCGGAAAGCCUGACCCAGCAAUGCCGCGUGAAUGAAGAAGGUCUUAGGAUUGUAAAAUUCUGUCCUAUGGGAAGAAACAAAUGACGGUACCAUAGGAGGAAGCCCCGGCUAACUACGUGCC
Molecule: ribosomal RNA, 141 nt
Filed under: uncultured bacterium
Lineage: Bacteria
Description: partial 16S ribosomal RNA
Rfam family: Bacterial small subunit ribosomal RNA
Source: RNAcentral